This 636-nucleotide ribosomal RNA is filed under the name uncultured bacterium. RNAcentral describes it as "bacterial SSU rRNA". It matches the Rfam family "Bacterial small subunit ribosomal RNA", at positions 43 to 668 of the family's 1533-position model. The record is from RNAcentral.
CAGGCCUAACACAUGCAAGUCGAACGGCAGCGGGGGGUAGCUUGCUACCUCGCCGGCGAGUGGCGGACGGGUGAGUAAUGCCUGGGGAGCUGCCCAAUCGAGGGGGAUACCAGUUGGAAACGACUGCUAAUACCGCAUACGCCCUGAGGGGGAAAGGUGGGGAUCUUCGGACCUACCGCGAUUGGAUGCGCCCAGGUGGGAUUAGCUAGUUGGUGAGGUAACGGCUCACCAAGGCGACGAUCUCUAGCUGGUCUGAGAGGAUGACCAGCCACACUGGAACUGAGACACGGUCCAGACUCCUACGGGAGGCAGCAGUGGGGAAUAUUGCACAAUGGGGGAAACCCUGAUGCAGCCAUGCCGCGUGUGUGAAGAAGGCCUUCGGGUUGUAAAGCACUUUCAGUCAGGAGGAAAGGUGGCUAGCUAAUACCUAGUUGCUGUGACGUUACUGACAGAAGAAGCACCGGCUAACUCCGUGCCAGCAGCCGCGGUAAUACGGAGGGUGCAAGCGUUAAUCGGAAUUACUGGGCGUAAAGCGCACGCAGGCGGCUUGUUAAGUCAGAUGUGAAAGCCCCGGGCUCAACCUGGGAACUGCAUUUGAAACUGACAAGCUAGAGUCUUGUAGAGGGGGGUAGAAUU